GAAGUGCGAUAAGCAAUGCGAAUUGCAGAAUUCCGCGAAUCAUCAGAUCUUUGAACGCAAGUGGCGCCAGAGGGAUAUCCUUCCGGCAUGUCUGUUUCAGUGUCUGAGAGGUUUCACAAUAAUCUUAAUGUGAUUGAAUUCGGCUUGUUUUUUGAUGGUAGUAAAAUAUCAUCAUCUACUUGCUCUUUUCUCUCAUGAAAGAUGCGCGAGGGGAUCUUUCGGUCCAAUGAAGUGGUCACAUCACUCGAAUGUGAUUUCAUUGGAAGCACCGAAUUAUCAUUUUUAACUCGCGGUAUCAUAAUUAUUAUUAUUUUAUUAGAUGAUGCUAUGCAACAUUUUAAUAAAAAACUCUCUAUACCCUGCAUCUGAGAUAGGCAAGAUCACCCGCUGAACUUAA
Molecule: unclassified non-coding RNA, 397 nt
Filed under: uncultured fungus
Lineage: Eukaryota; Fungi
Description: sequence contains ITS1
Rfam family: 5.8S ribosomal RNA (bases 1-105)
Source: RNAcentral